Molecule: ribosomal RNA, 646 nt
Filed under: Stenotrophomonas sp.
Lineage: Bacteria; Pseudomonadati; Pseudomonadota; Gammaproteobacteria; Lysobacterales; Lysobacteraceae
Description: bacterial SSU rRNA
Rfam family: Bacterial small subunit ribosomal RNA
Source: RNAcentral
GUCGAACGGGCAGCACAGAGGAGCUUGCUCCUUGGGUGGCGAGUGGCGGACGGGUGAGGAAUACAUCGGAAUCUACUCUGUCGUGGGGGAUAACGUAGGGAAACUUACGCUAAUACCGCAUACGACCUACGGGUGAAAGCAGGGGACCUUCGGGCCUUGCGCGAUUGAAUGAGCCGAUGUCGGAUUAGCUAGUUGGCGGGGUAAAGGCCCACCAAGGCGACGAUCCGUAGCUGGUCUGAGAGGAUGAUCAGCCACACUGGAACUGAGACACGGUCCAGACUCCUACGGGAGGCAGCAGUGGGGAAUAUUGGACAAUGGGCGCAAGCCUGAUCCAGCCAUACCGCGUGGGUGAAGAAGGCCUUCGGGUUGUAAAGCCCUUUUGUUGGGAAAGAAAUCCAGCUGGCUAAUACCCGGUUGGGAUGACGGUACCCAAAGAAUAAGCACCGGCUAACUUCGUGCCAGCAGCCGCGGUAAUACGAAGGGUGCAAGCGUUACUCGGAAUUACUGGGCGUAAAGCGUGCGUAGGUGGUCGUUUAAGUCCGUUGUGAAAGCCCUGGGCUCAACCUGGGAACUGCAGUGGAUACUGGGCGACUAGAGUGUGGUAGAGGGUAGCGGAAUUCCUGGUGUAGCAGUGAAAUGCGUAGAG